UCCACAUUCCAGCUACCAGGGAGCAGACAGAGGGACUAUCCAGCUCUCUGGCCUCCUCAGAAAGAGAUGAGAGAAUCAAGACCCCAGGACAUGAAAUCACUUACCUGGAAUGGCAUGGUCAAUAAAGGCAGAUUAUGGCAGUGGCAAUGUAUUAAGAGGAGUAUCAAUGGGAAUUAAGAUCCAACCAAGUUAAAUAUGUGGGUGGAGGGAUACAAAAACGCUGAAUGAGAUUCUAACAUUUUAGGCUAUUUACAACAGCACAGUGAGUCAGGAGAGGGUCCAGUGGAAAGCGACUGGAGACACAUCCGGCAGACAGGCAGAAAUAUCAGUUUCACCUCAAAGUUGUGGCAGAAGUAGUCUGAGCCAAGAAGCACAGGCAUUCCUGGGGUCAGCAGAUCAGGGCACAAAGGUAAGCUGGGAACAAAGUGAUACUGAUCUUGAACGUUAGGCAAGGGCUUAUCUUCGAGGCUGAUGCUUCCCAGUCAGUGCUUCCCAGCCUUCCUCAUUACCAUGGUACGUACAGAAAGCAAAUAUCUGUGCAUCUCACUGGGCAGUGACUGAGUGGGCUACCUCCCAGGCCUGUUCCUGCAGUGCCCCUUGGUUCUUCAUGAGACUAUUCAGGGUGUUUUUCUGGGCAAGUAACUCCAAAGGCAAGCAUCAGAGCAGCUCAAAGACUUAAGAACAUGUCACACAGGGAGAACAAGAAUGCCAUAUAAGUAAAAAGGCAGAGGCAGGAGUGAUGCACCUACAAGCCAAGGAACAGCAAAGAGAGCCAGAAAACCACCAGGAGCCAGAACAGAGGCAUGAAACAGAUUCUCC
This 819-nucleotide non-coding RNA is filed under the name Pongo abelii (Sumatran orangutan). The record is from RNAcentral. Lineage: Eukaryota; Metazoa; Chordata; Mammalia; Primates; Hominidae.